UACGGAGGGUGCGAGCGUUGUCCGGAAUCACUGGGCGUAAAGAGCUCGUAGGCGGCUUGUCGCGUCGAAUGUGAAAUCUCAGGGCUCAACUCUGACAUUGCAUUCGAUACGGGCAGGCUAGAGUUCGGUAGGGGAGACUGGAAUUCCUGGUGUAGCGGUGAAAUGCGCAGAUAUCAGGAGGAACACCGGUGGCGAAGGCGGGUCUCUGGGCCGAUACUGACGCUGAGGAGCGAAAGCGUGGGGAGCGAACAGG
This 253-nucleotide ribosomal RNA is filed under the name uncultured bacterium. Its description in RNAcentral is "partial 16S ribosomal RNA". It matches the Rfam family "Bacterial small subunit ribosomal RNA", at positions 524 to 776 of the family's 1533-position model. The record is from RNAcentral.